Molecule: ribosomal RNA, 460 nt
Filed under: uncultured bacterium
Lineage: Bacteria
Description: partial 16S ribosomal RNA
Rfam family: Bacterial small subunit ribosomal RNA
Source: RNAcentral
CCUACGGGAGGCAGCAGUGAGGAAUAUUGGUCAAUGGGCGCGAGCCUGAACCAGCCAAGUCGCGUGAGGGAGGACGGCCCUACGGGUUGUAAACCUCUUUUGCCGGGGAGCAACGGGCGCCACGUGUGGCGUCACUGAGAGUACCCGGAGAAAAAGCAUCGGCUAACUCCGUGCCAGCAGCCGCGGUAAUACGGAGGAUGCGGGCGUUAUCCGGUUUUAUGGGGGUUAAGGGGGGCGUAGGCGGAUCGGUAAGUCAGUGGUAAAAGUGGGGGGCUAAACCCCUUCCCGCCAUUGAAACUGGCGUUCUUGAGUGGACGAGAAGUAUGCGGAAUGCGUGGUGUAGCGGUGAAAUGCAUAGAUAUCACGCAGAACCCCGAUUGCGAAGGCAGCAUGCCGGCUUCCUACUGACGCUGAAGCACGAAAGCGUGGGGAUCGAACAGGAUUAGAUACCCCGGUAGUC